RNAcentral lists this ribosomal RNA (607 nucleotides) under Stereum hirsutum. Its description in RNAcentral is "LSU rRNA". It matches the Rfam family "Eukaryotic large subunit ribosomal RNA", at positions 78 to 668 of the family's 3401-position model. Lineage: Eukaryota; Fungi; Basidiomycota; Agaricomycetes; Russulales; Stereaceae. The record is from RNAcentral.
CCCUAGUAACUGCGAGUGAAGCGGGAAAAGCUCAAAUUUAAAAUCUGGCGGUCUUCUGGCCGUCCGAGUUGUAGUCUGGAGAAGCGUUUUCCGCGUUGGACCGUGUACAAGUUUCCUGGAACGGAGCGUCAUAGAGGGUGAGAAUCCCGUCUUUGACACGGAUCCCAAUGCUUUGUGAUGCGCUCUCAAAGAGUCGAGUUGUUUGGGAAUGCAGCUCAAAAUGGGUGGUGAAUUCCAUCUAAAGCUAAAUAUUGGCGAGAGACCGAUAGCGAACAAGUACCGUGAGGGAAAGAUGAAAAGCACUUUGGAAAGAGAGUUAAACAGUACGUGAAAUUGUUGAAAGGGAAACGCUUGAAGUCAGUCGCGUCGGCCGGGACUCAGCCUUGCAUCCGCUUGGUGUACUUUCCGGUCGACGGGCCAGCAUCAGUUUUGACCGCGAGAUAAAGGCGGAGGGAAUGUGGCUCUCUCGGGAGUGUUAUAGCCCUUCGUCAGAUGUCGCGGUUGGGACUGAGGAACUCAGCACGCCUUUAUGGCCGGGGCUCGCCCACGUACGUGCUUAGGAUGCUGGCGUAAUGGCUUUAAACGACCCGUCUUGAAACACGGACCA